CGCCAAGCACACCGGCAUACUCACAAGUGCGCUCACAGAACAGAUUCGUAGACAGACCUCGCCGCCUCGUCACCGGGACAGCUCAGCACGUCCUCUCACCCCUCGCAAAACGCGCCUGUAACGGACGCUGCUCGCGCUGAGGUGCGUGUGUGGGUGUGUGUGUUCGGUCAUCUCUUUUCCCUCUUCCUCCUUCCACGUCUCUCAGACAUGUCCGACGCUUCUGCGUCGCCGUCGCCGUCGGUAGAGCCCUCUCCGGAGUUCACCCUUCGUGACUACGUGGUGCAUCAGCGUGUAUUACAGCAGCUGCUGCGGUCUCAACCGGUGUGGCUGCUCGACGACGUGCUCAGCCUGCGGUAUCGUGCACGACUCCGGCUGUGUCUCUCACCGCGCCCGCAGCUUCACUUCACGGAGGACGCUGAAGAUGACCCUCACUCCUUCGAGACGGACCGGCCGUCGAGUAAACACCACGACGCAGCAGAGCACGGUGACAGUGACUCCCAGGCAUCCGCCAUGGAUGAUGGAUACCCUGUCGUCCCUCUCACCCCCGCCUGCAGCAUCGAGCCGGCGGCGGAGGCGGGUGAGGCGUGCGGCGGUGGCCUGCGUCUCCGCAUUGCCCCUGGCGCUGCCUGUGGUGCCGCCGCGUCAGCCGAUUCCCUCUCCUUUCUCAUCAUCCCCGCUUCCACGGCGGCAGGGCUCACCUCCGCCUCGGCCUGGGUGACGGUGCUGCGUCGUCUCUGCCGUCUGUCCAGUGCGCCGCCGCGCGUGAGUGGCGUUGUCGACGCUGCUAAUCGAUUGAAAGGCGGUUGGGGCACACUGUCGGCGCCCUGUCACGCCGAUCCCGUGUCGGCAGACCAAAAUGGCGCUGUCACUCCGUCAGCGAUCAAUGAAGGUGAUGAGGGCAUGCUGCCGAUCGCAACACCGACCCCCAGCUCCUGCAAUGGCUAUGCAUCGUCUCCCGCUCCUGUGGAGGCGCCUCCUGUGUCUUCGCCGGCGCACCUGAUGGCCGGUGCAAUUCUUGACAGGGAUGUGGAGGAGGAUAGGCGGCAACUCGAACGCCUCACUGAGGCCCUGCGCGCCCGAACUCGCGAAGCGGCGGAGCUUAAGGCACAGCUGCGGCAAGUGACUACGACGACGCCGUCUCUAGCUUCCGCACGGCUCGAUCCGACGCUGUCCACCAGGUCUGCCGUGGUCGACAGCACUGCUGCUGCCACACCAGCGGCAGUGGCUGCUGGCGAGGAAGUCGAACGACCUCCAACAAUGGCGCACGUGGGCAGCGGCCUCGUGCCGGCACUGCAGGGGUUUCCGCCUCACCUGGCCGAGAUGUCUUCCGAGGAUGACGACGACGACGAGAGCGGUGGCGACGACGAUGAGGGCGGCUCUUCGGGCGAGCGAGGCACUGGCCUAGCGGCGCGGAACUGCUUCAGAAGUAACGCCAGCAGCGCGGCCUUCGUCCUCUCCGAAGACUCGGCACGGCCACAGGCGCCACGCAGCGGCCAUGUGUGCAACCUCGGCUCCCUCGGCCCCACGUGCGGCGACGAGGACGCGCUGCGCAUUUACAAUGAAAUCCACGGAGGUCACAGCAGCAGCUGCAGCAGCGACCGCCGCUCCUCGUCCUCGUCCAUGUCAAGCGCCACCUCCGUGAGCAUGCCGCAGCCAGCUGGGUGAGGCUGACUCGCUCGGGCCCACACCACCGCAGCGCCCGUGUCGGCAAGCAUCGUUGAGUGCACUGCGAAAAGAGGUGCGCUUGUGCGUCUUCAUGUCGAGAGGAGACAAUUUAGAAAGCGAGAAAGGGGAGAUACGAGCUGCCUCUGUGUGUGUGUGGGGGGGGGUGUAUAUGCAUGUCUGUGUAUGUAUAUGUACAUGUGUGUGUGGGUGGGUGUGCGGGCGUGUGCGAGCCCAAGGAAAACAAAAGAAGGCCGAACGGCACGCGCACCUAUCUGCUCUCUCGACGACGGGACACAUUACGUAGGGACGGCCAUCGCCUCCACCACUCGAUCCCUCGAACGAAGGCGUUCCCGCUUUCUCACACGGGUCAGUAUCGUGCUUCAUCUCUCUUUUUUCUCUUGCCGUUCCUGCCGUCGCUCACUGCCACACACGCGUUGCCAUCUCGCUACACGCGCUCAUCCUUUUCCUCAG
RNAcentral lists this unclassified non-coding RNA (2136 nucleotides) under Leishmania donovani. RNAcentral's name for it is "gene:LdHU3.04.1320(CDS-product:hypothetical_prote in_conserved)". The record is from RNAcentral. Lineage: Eukaryota; Euglenozoa; Kinetoplastea; Trypanosomatida; Trypanosomatidae.